AACGAACGCUGGCGGCAUGCCUAACACAUGCAAGUCGAACGAGACCUUCGGGUCUAGUGGCGCACGGGUGCGUAACGCGUGGGAACCUGCCCUUAGGUUCGGAAUAACUCCCCGAAAGGGGUGCUAAUACCGGAUAAUGUCUUCGGACCAAAGAUUUAUCGCCUUUGGAUGGGCCCGCGUUGGAUUAGCUAGUUGGUAGGGUAAAAGCCUACCAAGGCGACGAUCCAUAGCUGGUCUGAGAGGAUGAUCAGCCACACUGGGACUGAGACACGGCCCAGACUCCUACGGGAGGCAGCAGUGGGGAAUAUUGGACAAUGGGCGAAAGCCUGAGCCAGCAAUGCCGCGUGAGUGAUGAAGGCCUUAGGGUUGUAAAGCUCGUUUACCCGGGAUGAUAAUGACAGUACCGGGAGAAUAAGCUCCGGCUAACUCCGUG
Molecule: ribosomal RNA, 433 nt
Filed under: uncultured bacterium
Lineage: Bacteria
Description: partial 16S ribosomal RNA
Rfam family: Bacterial small subunit ribosomal RNA
Source: RNAcentral